AUUGAACGCUGGCGGCAUGCCUUACACAUGCAAGUCGAACGGCAGCGGGGGAGAAGCUUGCUUUUCCUGCCGGCGAGUGGCGAACGGGUGAGUAAUACAUCGGAACGUGCCCUGUAGUGGGGGAUAACUAGUCGAAAGAUUAGCUAAUACCGCAUACGACCUGAGGGUGAAAGUGGAGGACCGCAAGGCCUCAUGCUAUAGGAGCGGCCGAUGUCUGAUUAGCUAGUUGGUGGGGUAAAGGCCUACCAAGGCGACGAUCAGUAGCUGGUCCGGGAGGACGAUCAGCCACACGGGGACUGAGACACGGCCCAGACUCCUACGGGAGGCAGCAGUGGGGAAUUUUGGACAAUGGGCGAAAGCCUGAUCCAGCAAUGCCGCGUGUGUGAAGAAGGCCUUCGGGUUGUAAAGCACUUUUGUCCGGAAAGAAAUGGCUCUGGUUAAUACCUGGGGUCGAUGACGGUACCGGAAGAAUAAGGACCGGCUAACUACGUGCCAGCCGCCGCUGUAA
Molecule: ribosomal RNA, 508 nt
Filed under: uncultured bacterium
Lineage: Bacteria
Description: partial 16S ribosomal RNA
Rfam family: Bacterial small subunit ribosomal RNA
Source: RNAcentral